This 1301-nucleotide long non-coding RNA is filed under the name Capsicum annuum. Its description in RNAcentral is "long non-coding RNA (CANN_LNC020968)". The record is from RNAcentral. Lineage: Eukaryota; Viridiplantae; Streptophyta; Magnoliopsida; Solanales; Solanaceae.
CGAUACGGGUAGAUUAUUAUUGUAUACUGGCGACGGCCAUGUGGCGUAGUAGAUUCAGAGACUCCGACCCUUGUGGCAUACUUGGGUAGGGGGCUUAGCUGCCGAGUUAAUGGAAGAUCCCAUAAAGCCCGUGGGAUUACAUAUUGUAGGGUACACCACCUAGUACAGAAGUAAGACAAAGAGUGUCACAGAUUUCAGAUGUUUUCACAGAAUCUUUUUAGAAGUAAGACAAAGAGUGUCACAUAAUCCCUGAUUAGCAGAACGGCCACAACCUCGACCAUUUCUACCUCUACCACGACCACGUGUGGUGGGAAUAAAGCUUUGAGUAUAUUGAGCUUAAGGAGCAAUCACAUUAAGGGCUUCAUACCUUUUCAGUUAUCUUUCUUCGGACAACAACAUGCCAUAUAAAGCAUCAAAGGUGACAUCUUCUUGACGUGCCUCAAGUGCUCUGGUAAACGAACGAUAUGCAGGACCUAAACCCGCAAGAACAAAUUCGAUAAGAUCGUCAUCAUCGAUGGGAUGCUGCAAAUCAGCCAACCUAUCAGCCAUUCCUUUUGCCUUUUGGACGUAAGUCUCAAUGCUUGCAUUGUCACGGCUUAAAGUGUGUAACUGUGCUUUGAGCUCACGAAUUUAUGGUUUGAAUCCGGUUGCAUAGGCUGCAACCAAUUUGUUCCAUGCUGCACGGGUAGUUUCAACACCAACUAAUUGUGGCAGCACAUUCUCGGAUACUGAUGCGACAAUCCAACUUAAAACAAGUUGGUCCUCAUGAACCCAUGCCUUAUAGGCUGGAUUAAGUUGAUCGUCUGCUAUAACUUUAUUUGGAAUAGGUUCACUACCAUCAAUAUGAUGGUUAAGACCAUACCCACAAAGCAUUGGAAGAAACUAUGUCUUCCAUAGCUAGAAGUUUAACAACGUAAGCUUCACGGGUAAUUGAUGAGCAAGGUUAGGAGUUGGGGAAUAAGUCGGGGUGGUCGACACAGCAACUAUAGUUCUUGACAUGCGUGAGAAAGUAGUGACAUCUUCCAUUGCAGGAUUCUCAAGGGAACUUUGUUGUCUUCAGGAGAAAAAAAAAAUCGGAGGGUUGUUUAAACCACUAGGGAUUUGAUACCAUGAAAGAAACGUUUUUUCUAUAUAUAUCUCUGAAGGUGGAAAGCAAUAUUUAUACAAGAGGUUCUUGGGGAGCCAAGUCUCCUAACAUUACUAGAAUACAUAGAGAGGCCUAUACAGGAGUUAUCAAUAUACAAAUACUUCUAGUUGUCUAUCCUAGUUGGUAUUAACUACAUUUAUCCUUUACAUAUCCA